UUCACUGGCACCUGUUUCUGUUAGAGGUUUUUUUUUUUUCAUUUUCCUACAUAAGAGAAAGGGAAAUACUGUAGAAAACCAGUUAGCAAACGAGGGGGGAGUAUAACAAUCUAGGUUUGGAGAUAACAAUCCAAAAGUGGCUGGAGAAAGACUUUAUUUCCAUAUAUUUUAUUUGGAUAAAGUUGGUUUGGCAGUUUCUACAGGGAAGAAACUGAGCCAGAAACAGCGCAUCAUAAAAAGGAGCAUUCAAGAAAUAACUGUAUUUUCUUGCAUAUUGAGCAGCUAUUGCUACAAUGUUAUGGGGUAUAAUUUACCAACACCUUCAGCCUUUCUUCUUUUCUUCUUUCUCUUUCUCCUUAUUAUUAGUCUGCAUCAGAGCAGAACAGGUACUGCUCACGCAGGAACCAGCCUGGAUAUCAGGGGAGCUUGGAGACCAGAUUCAAAUGAAUUGCCAGCAGACCAACACAGAUCACAAUUGGAUGUACUGGUAUCGGCAAACAGCAGCAAAGCAGCAGCUGGAACUGAUUGGUUACAUAGUUAAGGGAGCACCACAAGCCACUUAUGAAGAUGGAUUUGAAAAACAAAGAUUUGAGAUUCAACAGAAGCAUAGUAAACACUGUUCAUUGCAAAUCAACAAAAUGAGCUCCGAGGAUGCUGCUGUUUAUUUCUGUGCUUCUAGCUUCACAGUGCUAGAAUGUUUCAGGGGCUCCCUGCAAGAACCGUCUCAUGAGUCUUCACAUGGAAGCUUGGAGUCAAAAUUUGCAUCUCUCUCUUUCUUCUCUCCUAUGUGUCUGCAGAAGAUAUUGCUAUGAUGUUAUGGAAUAUAAUUUACCAACACAUUCCUUGUCCAUCUCUGGGGAGAUUGUUCAGCCCCCACAACAGAGUCAUAAAGAAUAUUCUGGAGAAAGGAUACCAGUUUGAUGCAGCAUUAAGAAAGGAGAAGGGAAAAAUGGACUGUUAUGUCUUUCUGAACAGAGAAUACUUUCAGAAACUCUGCACCUGCCUGCCUUUGAAGAUACUCACCAGUUCCA
Non-coding RNA from Crotalus tigris (Tiger rattlesnake), 1031 nucleotides. Lineage: Eukaryota; Metazoa; Chordata; Lepidosauria; Squamata; Viperidae. The record is from the annotation of a RefSeq genome assembly.